This 2471-nucleotide long non-coding RNA is filed under the name Homo sapiens (human). RNAcentral describes it as "HSALNT0026652". Lineage: Eukaryota; Metazoa; Chordata; Mammalia; Primates; Hominidae. The record is from RNAcentral.
GCUGUUCCAGGGGCCUGGGUGGGAGCAGCCCAGGAGCCUGCGUCUCCCCUCCUCGGCCCUGGGAGGCGGCUGGACUGUGCCACACGGGACGGGUGCUGAGGGACCGCUGGGUGCCCACCUCCCUGACCCCUCCUGCAGGGGUGCCUGCCAAGCAGCCUGGGCACUGCCGUCUGGAAGAUGCGCCGUGCCGGUUCUACACGGUGUUCCCUUGCUCCAGGCAGAAAGGCAGAGGAGCCUGGCAACCAUGUCCCAAGUUGGAAGGAAGCUCUGAGAACCCUGCUCCCCAGAAAUCCUGAGCAAAGGCUGGCUGGCCUACAGGAGCAGUCUAGAGUAAGAGCUGUUUCCUGGCAGAGGAUCAAGUAUCCAGGUCACAUUGAAGAGACAUGUGAGGACUCCAAUGGAGAACAAUUUGAGAGUGAGAAACCAGUUCUGGAGGCCAGGAAGUUCAAGAUCAAGGUGUUGGCAAGUUCAGUGUCUGCUGAGGACCUGAUCUCUCUUCUUUCAAGAUGGCAUCUUGUUGCUCUUCCCUCCAGAGAGUAGAAAUGCUGGAACCUCACAUGGAGGAAAAAAUGAAAAGGACCAAUGCUAGUUCCCUUCAGCCUUUUUAUGAACUCACUAAUUCCCAUUGAGGGCUCCACAUACAUGACUUAAUCACCUCCUAAAUGCCUGACUUCCUAAUACUCUCAUUUUGAAGAUUAAGUUUCAACAUAUGAAUUUGGGGGUCAUAUUCAGAACAUAGCACUUAUGAUACUAUCUCAAAUCAUAGACUGCUUUCUCGGUGGGCAUCUAUCUCAGUUUCUUUUCUGUUGUUAUUACAGAGUACCUGAGCCUGAGUAAUUUAUAAAGAAAAUACAUUUAUUUUGGCUCAUGGCUCUAUAGGCUGGGAAGUCCAAGAUUGGGCGGUUACAUCUGGUUGGCUCCUGGUGCGGGCCUCCUGCCGCAUCAUAACAAGGUAGAGAAGUGAAAGGGAAGGUGGGCUUGUAGGAAGGGGGCAAAGCAUGAAGGGCAGGCUUGCUUUAUAGAAACUGGGACACAGCACCCCACAGGAUGAGUGUAUAAAGGCUAGACAGACAAGGGGAUUGUUGUGUUGAACCUGAAAAGUCCCCUCACCUGGCAAUGCUCUCUGUUCCCUGUGAGAAGAAGGGGUUUCUUUUCUUCUGGGAUGAUUCAUCCCUUCACCUGUGGCCUUCCCUAGAGCCCAUCCUUGUGCCAUUCUGCUCUCCAGGCACAUCUCUCUCAGAUGAAUUCCCUCUUCCCUCUUCCUCUGGCCCCUCCUGUUUAUUUAUCUGUUUCCUCACCACUGUGUAAUCAGGUAGGCCCCACUGCUGUGACCUCUGGAAUAAUGAUUGAAUCUGCCCUAUCCUCUCCACAGUGAUGCCUGGGACCCAGCUGAGAUCUCCAUCAUCUCUCAAAACAACUGUGCACUGACCUCCUGACCUAAGCCCAGCCUCUGCCCACUCAGACUGACCUUCACGCAGCUGCACAAUGCUGCAUUUGGAAGCCGGACCUGACCACAUUCGUUUCCCUCUGUUGAGAUUCAUGUUCUGGAGAAAUGAAAAUGCUGUCUCAGUGGAAUGUUGAUUAGCUGGAGUGGAGACCCAAGAUCUCUGUCCAGGCAGGGCCAUCAAAACAUAGAAGUGCUCUUGGCUUUCCAAAAUCUGCACAUCUCCAACUUUUCUUUUAGCUAGAGGUGGCCCUGUGAUUGAUGAGUGACCAGCCAUGUGUGGAGAAAAGCAAUGUGAACAACUUCUGACUUCGCUGUUAAAGAAAAUUGGUCUGUCCCCCAUUUCCUUGCAUUCCCAUUCUUACUGGCUGAAAUUCAAAGCUGAUAAAUGGAGCUAGAGCAGAUAGCUGGGAAAAUGAGUUGAGGGUCUUACAUUAAGACUUGCCAGCAAGAAGAAGAAUUUUUCCAGGGUUCCUGACACCGCCAAAUUGUUCGAUCAGCUCUGAACUCUAUACUGAGAUUCUUUAAGUAUGAGAGACAUGAACUUUGACUGGCUUAAGUGAGCUAUUGAGGUCUCUUUGCUAUUGUGACCUAACUCAGGGGUCAGCAAAUAACACUCUGUGCGCAAAAUCUGACUACGAUCUGUUUUUGUAACUAAAUAAAAUUUCACUGAAACACACCCAUGCUCAUUUAUUUAGGUAUGGCUGCUUUCAUGAUACCAUGGCACAUUUGACUACCUAUAGACAGUGAUAUGAUGUGGAUCUGUGUCCCCACCCAAAUCUCAUGUUGAAAUGUAAUCCCCCUGUGCUGGAGGUGGGAUCUGGUGGGAGGUGAAAUGGGGGCGGUUUCUCAAGAAUGGUUUAGCUCCAUUUCUCUGCUGCUGUAUUCAUGAUAGUAAGUGAGUGAGUUGUCACAAGAUCUGAUUGUGUAAAAGUGUGUGGCACCUCCCCCUUCUCUCUUGCUCCUUCUCGGCCAUGUAAGACCUGCCUGCUUCCCCUUCACCUUCCACCAUGAUUGUAAAUUUCAU